AGCGGCGGACGGGUGAGUAACACGUGGGUAACCUGCCCAAGAGACUGGGAUAACACCUGGAAACAGAUGCUAAUACCGGAUAACAACACUAGACGCAUGUCUAGAGUUUGAAAGAUGGUUCUGCUAUCACUCUUGGAUGGACCUGCGGUGCAUUAGCUAGUUGGUAAGGUAACGGCUUACCAAGGCAAUGAUGCAUAGCCGAGUUGAGAGACUGAUCGGCCACAUUGGGACUGAGACACGGCCCAGACUCCUACGGGAGGCAGCAGUAGGGAAUCUUCCACAACGGACGAAAGUCUGAUGGAGCAACGCCGCGUGAGUGAAGAAGGGUUUCGGCUCGUAAAGCUCUGUUGGUAGUGAAGAAAGAUAGAGGUAGUAACUGGCCUUUAUUUGACGGUAAUUACUUAGAAAGUCACGGCUAACUACGUGCCAGCAGCCGCGGUAAUGCGUAGGUGGCAAGCGUUGUCCGGACUUAUUGGGCGUAAAGCGAGUGCAGGCGGUUCAAUAAGUCUGAUGUGAAAGCCUUCGGCUUAACCGGAGAAUUGCAUCAGAAACUGUUGAACUUGAGUGCAGAAGAGGAGAGUGGAACUCCAUGUGUAGCGGUGGAAUGCGUAGAUAUAUGGAAGAACACCAGUGGCGAAGGCGGCUCUCUGGUCUGCAACUGACGCUGAGGCUCGAAAGCAUGGGUAGCGAACAGGAUUAGAUACCCUGGUAGUCCAUGCCGUAAACGAUGAGUGCUAAGUGU
Molecule: ribosomal RNA, 742 nt
Filed under: uncultured bacterium
Lineage: Bacteria
Description: bacterial SSU rRNA
Rfam family: Bacterial small subunit ribosomal RNA
Source: RNAcentral